This is a long non-coding RNA of Paramacrobiotus metropolitanus, 431 nucleotides long. RefSeq lists it as uncharacterized. Lineage: Eukaryota; Metazoa; Tardigrada; Eutardigrada; Parachela; Macrobiotidae. The transcript has 3 exons. The record is from RefSeq and is a predicted model, not a curated record.
AUGAUUUUUAUGUAUUAAUAUUGUACUUGCCGUUAGAGCUUCAACGGACAACCGAAGGCUCUUUACACGCCAGCAAUCAGGUGGUACAUGUUGGGAGCGUUCUACAUAGAUUCUGAUGCAGCUGCCAAUGAUGCGGCAAAUGAAGUUUUCAGUUAUAGUAACAGCAGUCCUUUAAGAUGGACCAACCAGAGCGUGUACUCUAUUGCGCAACGCCCGUAUCACCAAGCUGAUGAGCUUGGGUUGACAAUCUUUUACGACACUCAACAUUUCCGCCACGAGGAGUACUUCUGGAAUCAUAGUGCUAAGGAACUACGCAAACCCACUAAAAUUCCAGAGCGCGGUCUACUGAUUGAUCAAUCCACUGCUGCCUCAACUGUGCUGCACCGACGUAUGGAACCUGGUAUCACCAUUAGAACUGAGUUUGAGUUUCA